This 460-nucleotide ribosomal RNA is filed under the name uncultured bacterium. RNAcentral's name for it is "bacterial SSU rRNA". It matches the Rfam family "Bacterial small subunit ribosomal RNA", at positions 29 to 533 of the family's 1533-position model. The record is from RNAcentral.
AACGAACGCUGGCGGCAUGCCUAACACAUGCAAGUCGAACGAGACCUUCGGGUCUAGUGGCGCACGGGUGCGUAACGCGUGGGAAUCUGCCCCUUGGUUCGGAAUAACAGCGAGAAAUUGCUGCUAAUACCGGAUAAUGACGUAAGUCCAAAGAUUUAUCGCCAAGGGAUGAGCCCGCGUAGGAUUAGCUAGUUGGUGUGGUAAAGGCGCACCAAGGCGACGAUCCUUAGCUGGUCUGAGAGGAUGAUCAGCCACACUGGGACUGAGACACGGCCCAGACUCCUACGGGAGGCAGCAGUGGGGAAUAUUGGACAAUGGGCGAAAGCCUGAUCCAGCAAUGCCGCGUGAGUGAUGAAGGCCUUAGGGUUGUAAAGCUCUUUACCCGGGAUGAUAAUGACAGUACCGGGAGAAUAAGACUCCGGCUAACUCCGUGCCAGCAGCCGCGGUAAAGUGACUACUG